This 260-nucleotide unclassified non-coding RNA is filed under the name Hevea brasiliensis (rubber tree). Lineage: Eukaryota; Viridiplantae; Streptophyta; Magnoliopsida; Malpighiales; Euphorbiaceae. The record is from RNAcentral.
UAUAUGUUAAAAUUUUCAUCCACAUAGACACGAAAUUAUGUGAUCAAAGCCAAAUGAUAGUGCAGUGGAUAUGCAAGCACAUCAAGGACCAAGUUUCCAAGGAAAAAUAACUCUAACUCCACUAUUUGGUUUGAGUGAAAAGGUGAUUUUUAAAUGGAAUCUCACUCAAGUCAAUUGUUAUCCAAUUUUGGGUAGACAAUUUAACUGAGCCAGUUCCAGAUCAAUAGAGAGACACACCACAGGCACCCCAUUUUAAUAAA